CCUACGGGUGGCUGCAGUGAGGAAUAUUGGUCAAUGGGCUCACGCCUGAACCAGCCAAGUCGCGUGAGGGAAGACGGCCCUAUGGGUUGUAAACCUCUUUUGCCGGGGAGCAACGGCGGCUACGUGUAGCGGCACUGAGAGUACCCGGAGAAAAAGCAUCGGCUAACUCCGUGCCAGCAGCCGCGGUAAUACGGAGGAUGCGAGCGUUAUCCGGAUUUAUUGGGUUAAAAGGGUGCGUAGGCGGAAGGUCAAGUCAGGGGUAAAAUUGAGGGGCUCAACCCCGCUCCGCCAUUGAAACUGGCGCUCUUGAGUGGAAGAGAAGUAUGCGGAAUGCGUGGUGUAGCGGUGAAAUGCAUAGAUAUCACGCAGAACCCCGAUUGCGAAGGCAGCAUGCCGGCUUCCAACUGACGCUGAAGCACGAAAGCGUGGGGAUCGAACAGGAUUAGAUACCCUUGUAGUC
Molecule: ribosomal RNA, 460 nt
Filed under: uncultured bacterium
Lineage: Bacteria
Description: partial 16S ribosomal RNA
Rfam family: Bacterial small subunit ribosomal RNA
Source: RNAcentral